Molecule: ribosomal RNA, 221 nt
Filed under: uncultured bacterium
Lineage: Bacteria
Description: partial 16S ribosomal RNA
Rfam family: Bacterial small subunit ribosomal RNA
Source: RNAcentral
AGUAAUGCUUGGGAAUCUAGCUUAUGGAGGGGGAUAACUACGGGAAACUGUAGCUAAUACCGCGUAGAUCGAGAGAUGAAAGUGUGGGACCUUCGGGCCACAUGCCAUAGGAUGAGCCCAAGUGGGAUUAGGUAGUUGGUGAGGUAAAGGCUCACCAAGCCGACGAUCUCUAGCUGGUCUGAGAGGAUGACCAGCCACACUGGGGCUGAGACACGGCCCAG